RNAcentral lists this ribosomal RNA (371 nucleotides) under uncultured bacterium. RNAcentral's name for it is "bacterial SSU rRNA". It matches the Rfam family "Bacterial small subunit ribosomal RNA", at positions 527 to 896 of the family's 1533-position model. The record is from RNAcentral.
AGAGGUCUCAAGCGUUGUUCGGAUUCAUUGGGCGUAAAGGGUGCGUAGGCGGCGCGGUAAGUCGGGUGUGAAAUCUCGGAGCUUAACUCCGAAACUGCAUUCGAUACUGCCGUGCUUGAGGACUGGAGAGGAGACUGGAAUUUACGGUGUAGCGGUGAAAUGCGUAGAUAUCGUAAGGAAGACCAGUGGCGAAGGCGGGUCUCUGGACAGUUCCUGACGCUGAGGCACGAAGGUCAGGGGAGCAAACGGGAUUAGAUACCCCGGUAGUCCUGACAGUAAACGGUGCACGUUUGGUGUGGGAGGAUUCGACCCCUUCUGCGCCGGAGCUAACGCGUUAAACGUGCCGCCUGGGGAGUACGGUCGCAANNNUA